Molecule: small nuclear RNA, 103 nt
Filed under: Zalophus californianus (California sea lion)
Lineage: Eukaryota; Metazoa; Chordata; Mammalia; Carnivora; Otariidae
Also listed under: 1 other name
Source: RNAcentral
UUGCUCUCUUUGGCAGCACAUAUGCUAAAAUUGGAACAGUACAAGGAUUAGCAUGACCCUGGCACAAGGAUCACGGUAAAUCCAAGAGUCUAGCUAUCUGUAC